GACAGAGGGUGCAAACGUUGUUCGGAAUUACUGGGCGUAAAGCGCGUGUAGGCGGCCAUCUAAGUCGGGCGUGAAAUCCCACGGCUCAACCGUGGAAGUGCACUCGAAACUGGAUGGCUAGAGUCCUGGAGAGGAAGGUGGAAUGCUUGGUGUAGAGGUGAAAUUCGUAGAUAUCAAGCGGAACACCGGUGGCGAAGGCGGCCUUCUGGACAGUGACUGACGCUGAGACGCGAAAGCGUGGGGAGCAAACGGG
RNAcentral lists this ribosomal RNA (253 nucleotides) under uncultured bacterium. RNAcentral describes it as "partial 16S ribosomal RNA". It matches the Rfam family "Bacterial small subunit ribosomal RNA", at positions 524 to 776 of the family's 1533-position model. The record is from RNAcentral.